This 641-nucleotide ribosomal RNA is filed under the name Pedobacter antarcticus. RNAcentral describes it as "bacterial SSU rRNA". It matches the Rfam family "Bacterial small subunit ribosomal RNA", at positions 30 to 663 of the family's 1533-position model. The record is from RNAcentral. Lineage: Bacteria; Pseudomonadati; Bacteroidota; Sphingobacteriia; Sphingobacteriales; Sphingobacteriaceae.
UGAACGCUGGCCGGCAGGCUUAACACAUGCAAGUCGACCGGGGAAAAGUAGCUUGCUACUUGACCUAGCGGCGGACGGGUGAGUAAUGCUUAGGAAUCUGCCUAUUAGUGGGGGACAACAUCUCGAAAGGGAUGCUAAUACCGCAUACGUCCUACGGGAGAAAGCAGGGGACCUUCGGGCCUUGCGCUAAUAGAUGAGCCUAAGUCGGAUUAGCUAGUUGGUGGGGUAAAGGCCUACCAAGGCGACGAUCUGUAGCGGGUCUGAGAGGAUGAUCCGCCACACUGGGACUGAGACACGGCCCAGACUCCUACGGGAGGCAGCAGUGGGGAAUAUUGGACAAUGGGGGGAACCCUGAUCCAGCCAUGCCGCGUGUGUGAAGAAGGCCUUUUGGUUGUAAAGCACUUUAAGCGAGGAGGAGGCUACCGAGAUUAAUACUCUUGGAUAGUGGACGUUACUCGCAGAAUAAGCACCGGCUAACUCUGUGCCAGCAGCCGCGGUAAUACAGAGGGUGCAAGCGUUAAUCGGAUUUACUGGGCGUAAAGCGCGCGUACGUGGCCAAUUAAGUCAAAUGUGAAAUCCCCGANCUUAACUUGGGAAUUGCAUUCGAUACUGGUUGGCUAGAGUAUGGGGAGAGGAUGGUA